GUGUCAGCAGCCGCGGUAAUACGGGGGGAGCAAGCGUUGUUCGGAUUUACUGGGCGUAAAGGGCGCGUAGGCGGCGUGACAAGUCACUUGUGAAAUCUCCGGGCUUAACUCGGAACGGUCAAGUGAUACUGUUGUGCUAGAGUGCAGAAGGGGCAACUGGAAUUCUCGGUGUAGCGGUGAAAUGCGUAGAUAUCGAGAGGAAUACCUGUGGCGAAGGCGGGUUGCUGGGCUGACACUGACGCUGAGGCGCGAAAGCUAGGGGAGCGAACGGGAUUAGAAACCCUCGUAGUCC
Molecule: ribosomal RNA, 292 nt
Filed under: uncultured bacterium
Lineage: Bacteria
Description: partial 16S ribosomal RNA
Rfam family: Bacterial small subunit ribosomal RNA
Source: RNAcentral